UCUGUUAGGUUGGUGCAAAAGUAAUUGCGGUUUUUGCCAUUGCUUUUAAUGGCAAAAACUGCAAUUACUUUUGCACCAACCUAAUA
Molecule: microRNA precursor, 86 nt
Filed under: Pan troglodytes (chimpanzee)
Lineage: Eukaryota; Metazoa; Chordata; Mammalia; Primates; Hominidae
Description: miRNA (ENSPTRG00000041681.2)
Rfam family: mir-548 microRNA precursor family
Source: RNAcentral